AAAAGGAAUAGACUGCUCUAAGACUUGCAGUUGAAUGAGGAACUUUGUGCAUUAAAGAAAAUUGUGGAAAGCCAUUUUGUGGGCUGGGGGCGGAGGGUGGAAAGACUUGAUGUGCAUUGUCAGCUAAAUUAAUGAACUAUCAUCUAUCCAGUGAGUUUACCAAAGAGCCUACAGAAAUGUGAACAAAUGGGAUAUCACCAGAGCCACAGAUGCUCAGGUGCUGUUUUGCUUUCCUGGGUUUUUCCACACAAACUUAGGAAACAUUGCCUUUGGAAAAUUACAAGGUCAGCUCGUGCCAGAAGCUAUUGCUGGAGAAACAGCCCAGUGACACCAUUAACCAGGCCACAGUUAAUUAGUAGCAAACCCUGAAGAUGUUUCUUACAUUAUGACACAGAGAGAUAGUAGAGAAAGCAAGAAAAAGAAAAAUCUGGAUAGGGGACUUCAAAACGGAAUGUUUCUUAAAAACAUUAAU
Corapipo altera (White-ruffed manakin) is the source of this 472-nucleotide long non-coding RNA. RefSeq lists it as uncharacterized. The transcript is spliced from 3 exons. NCBI's taxonomy places the organism in Eukaryota, Metazoa, Chordata, Aves, Passeriformes, Pipridae. The record is from RefSeq and is a predicted model, not a curated record.